Ictalurus punctatus (channel catfish) is the source of this 527-nucleotide long non-coding RNA. RefSeq lists it as uncharacterized. NCBI's taxonomy places the organism in Eukaryota, Metazoa, Chordata, Actinopteri, Siluriformes, Ictaluridae. The record is from RefSeq and is a predicted model, not a curated record. The transcript is spliced from 3 exons.
GUAAAGAGACGGAGACGAAGUCAUAAACAUAAGCAAAGUGAAAACACCAGAAUAAACAGCAAUGAGCUAAAGCUUGGCAACAACCGCGACAACACAACUGUGUGUAUACUUUGCAAAGACGGAAUGCAUAGAAGGUCCUUUUAAACUGUGGUACUGAUUGUGCUGUGAAUUGGAUGCAGGUGUGCGUGAUUAGAAUGAAGGCGAGUGUUCUGAGAAUUGCGGUCCAUGGCAGCCAUGUUUGUAGGCUGCAGUGAAGGAUGGGAAAUGUAGUCAUUGUUUUGCUGUGAUAUGACAAUGAUGGUGAGCUGAGGAAGCCACUCAAAAUGAGAUGCUUUCGUUCAUGUUGGGAAAGUGAGAUGAGGCGAGGAUAAGAGGGAGAGAGACACACACCUCGAAGAAGGGAGAGCCACGAGCAUGAUGUGAAUGUGUUUUGUGUGUGUGCAUGCAUGUCUGAAGUAAAGAAAGUAAACGAACGCUGUGUUGUGGAAAUUAGACAACACUCACAGACUCGUCCUCUGAAGGUAAAA